CAAAACUCCUGCUAAUGGUAACCUUUAGGGAGAGAAGAGAGGAUUUAGGGUAAAGGGGGAGAAGUAAAUGUCAAAGGGAACUUAAGCAUUAUAGGUCAUUUCUCUCCCUCUCUCUCUGUUUUUGUUUGUUUGUUUGUUUUUGUUUUUGUUUUUGUUUUGAGACAGAGUCUCACUCUGUCGCCCGGGCUGGAGUGCAGUGGUGCGCUCUCAGCUCACUGCAACCUCCGCUUCCCGGGUUCAAGUGAUUCUCCUGCCUCAGCCUCCCGAGUAGCUGGGAUUACAGGCGCCUGCCACUACGCCCAGCUAAUUUUUUGUAUUUUUAGUGGAGACAGGGUUUCACCAUUUUAGCCAGGCUGGUCUCGAACUCCUGACCUCGUGAUUUGCCCACCUUGGCCUCCCAAAGUGCUGGGAUGACAGACGUGAGCUACCGCGCCCGGCCUCUCUCUCUCUUUUAGCAAGGUAGCAUCACUCAUAUAUUUAAAAUUUAAUUUUAAAAUAUAAAAGUCAAUAGAGACGUUGGUUUUGGAGCAAGGAAGUGAGCCAAGGAACCUAAACUGUGGAAGCAGACAAAAUCCAGAAAAACUUACACCUUAGGAAGACUGCAGAGAGAAGGGAAUAGUAAGGCAACAAGUUUUCAUAGGCCUGAGGUGUCUUGUUUGUUUAUGAAAUGCCAGUUUCAUAUUUAUGUCCUUAUAACCCAUUUUGACCUUGCUGACCUUUAAGGAUUAGUUAUCUCUUCAGCCCAGUUACUGGAUUCAGCUCCGUUAUAGUGUCUGACCCUGGACAGCAUUGGCAGAGUCUCGCUCUGUCGCCAAGACUGCAGUACAGUGGCAUGAUCUCGGCUCGGCUCACUGCAACCUCCACCUCCCGGGUCAGGCAGUUCUCCUGUCUCAGCCUCCCAAGUAGCUGGGAUUAGAGGCACCUGUCACCAUGCCCGGCUAAUUUUUUUAUAUUUUUAGUAGAGACAGGGUUUCACCAUGUUGGCCAGGCUGGCCUCAAACUCCUGAUCUCAAGUGAUCCACCCGCCUAGGCCUCCCAAAGUGUUGGGAUUACAGGUGUGAACCACCACGCCCAACCUGGCACAGAUAUUUCGUACUUAUAUUGUGCAUUCCCUGUCCCAGACUUGGAAUUAGCCACUUUGUGAGGAGAAUUUUUGAGAUGAUCUUUUCAAUGUAUAUUCUCAACAAAGAAAUAGUUAAGUAAUUUAUAGUACACAGGGAGCAGAAUGUUAUGCAUCCAAUAAACUUAGGAUUAUAAAUUUUAAAUUAACAAAAUGAAUCUUAAAAUUUUACGCAGUAUUAUGUCAGUGACAUUUUUCUUUUUUAAAGAGAUGGGGUCUCGCUCUGUCACCCAGGCUGGAGUGCAGUGGUGUAAUCAUGGCUCAUGGUAACCUUGAACUCCUAGGGUCAAGUCAACCUCCCUCAGCCUCCCAAAGUACUGGGAUUAUAAGCAUGAGCCACCCUGGCCAGCCCUAGGAAAAGAAAACUUUUAAAACCACCAGUGGUAUCACAAUCAAAAGAUAAACACAUAUCUUUUCAAAUGCCAUUAAAUAUUUGUACAGUCAUAUCAAAAACAUCACUUACUACAUACUAUUUUGUAAUCUGUUUUUUUCAUGUUUUAAAACAAAAUAUUGCAAUAAAAUGCAUAUACCUUUUAAAUGUUCAUAAUAUUUAAAAAGACAUCAUUAGUAUUUUGAAAUAAUGACAGAAAACAUUUUGAAUAUUACAAAAUUAAAAUUUGUUAAUAUGAUGUAUUUUAAUUGGAACAUAUUAAAGAUUACAUAGUGUCUAUUGAUCAUCAUAAUCCUUUUUAACCAUUCUACUGUUGUUGGAUUGAGAAUCCUGAAAUAUAUAUGAAUAGUUCCUCAUUCACAAUGGCCAUCUAUGUCAUGAAUCUUGACCCUGGCUUUGUGUGAUUAACAAUUUUUCAUUGCAGUGGCCAGUGACCUUCAAGACUUUUCCUAAAAGGAGUAGAGAUAACUGAAUUCAGAGAGAUUAUUUACAGAUUUUAUAUUGGAAACUAGAAGAAUCUAUCUGGCUAGGGAAGGACAUCUUCUCCCCCAAAUUAAAAUUUACAAUCUGGAGUAUCUUCUUCCUUUGUGAAUCCUGUGGAUUCUGUGUGCUUGCCUGAAUUUUUGUCCCUUGUUCUCAGAAAAUAAUUAGAGCUUUGCAGAAUCGUGUGGAGGCAACUCUGAUUGUAGCUUUCUUUAGCCCUUCCUAGGAUGGCCUUGCUUCCCUGACAACCAUGGAAAUGGGUCUUAAUUCCACAGCCAGAGUCUGACCAAUUUCUUAUCUUUUACGAUAUGCAAGAUGGUUUCUAAGUUUUUAAGCCCAUUAUAAUUUCCUUAUCAGAUAAUGGGAAAGAAAGAUAUGGUUAAAAAAGAAAUGAAAGAGUCUUGGUGAGGGAGGAAGAAUCAGGUAGAAUGAAACCGUUGGUUUUUCAAGCCCAGUUUUUCAGUCAACAGAAAUCAUAUUUUACAAUGUUAUUCGAGUAUUUGCCUUAGAGGCUCCAGUCCAUUGGAGGAAAUUGAGUCUACUUUAUUAUGACCUACCAAAAGAAUUUAACCUUCACCCUGUCUUUUAAUUAAAUUCGUAUGUUUCAAAGAUAGUUUCUAUUAAAUAUAGAGUAGAUACAAAAUAAUAUUUAUGAAGUAUAUGUAUUUUUUUAAUUCUCAAUACAGCAAAAACCUGUGUACCAACUACCUUUUUUAAGAAAGAAAAUAUUUAUUUUUUUGAGAUGGAGUCUCACUCUGUUGCCCAGGCUGGAGUGCAGUGGCAGGAUCUCAGCUCACUGCAACCUCCGCCUCUUGGGUUCAAGCGAUUCUCCUGCCUCAGCCUCCCGAGUAGCUGGGACUACAGGUGCGCACCACCAUGCCCAGCUAAUUUUUGUAUUUUCAGUAGAGAUGGGGUUUCACCUUGUUGGCCAGGCUGGUAUCGAACUCCUGACCUCAGGUGAUCCACCUGCCUCGGCCUCCCAAAGUGUUGAGAUUACAGGCGUGAGCCACCACGCCCAGCCAAAAGAAAAUAUUAACUACUAACUUUGAAGACUCCUAGACAUCUAUUCCCAUUUCUAUCCCCUUUUCCUUCAGACAUAACAAUUAUCCUGAGAUUUAUGUUUAUAAUUCUCUUGCUUUUCUUUAUAGUUUCAGCUACUUACUCCAAAACUAUGUUGUUUAUGGAUGUUUUUGAGUUUUAUAUAACUAUUUCAUAUAUCAUUCUGUGACUCGCUUUUUUGUCAACAUUAUGUUCCUGAGAUUAAGUAGUGUAGCUAUAAUCCAUUCAUUUUUAUGGUACAGUAUUCCAUUGCUUGACUAUAUUACAGUUUUUAAAAUCCAUUCUCAGUUGAUAGAAAUGUGAGUUGCUUCAAAGUUUGAAUUUAUAGUUCUAUUACGAACAUUCUUGUACAUGUUUACUGAUGGACAUGCAGAGGCUGUUCUAGGGCAAGGGUCAUCAAACUUUCUUGUGCAAAGGGACAUAUAGGAAAUAUUUUAGGCUUUGCGGGCCAUACAGUUUCUGUCACAACUACUCAACUCUGCCAUUGUAUCAUGAAAUCACAGCCAUAGACAAUAUGUAAAAGAACGAGUGUGUUCUAGUGAAACUUUAUGCCAAGGCAGGAUCUAGCCUGUGGGCCAUAGUUUGCUAAGCCCUGUUCUAGGAUAUAUAUGAAGAAUAUAUUACUGAACACAGAGUACAUAUACCAUGCAAAUAUUCUCAACUUUACUAGGCAAUAUGCAAUAUUUUCCAAAGGGGAUUUUCCAAUGUAUACUCUUUACUAACAUUUGAAAUGCUCAGAAUUUUAAGUUCAGGUGAUUCUGGUAGAUGUAUAUGCAGUAGAAUCUCAUUUUGGUUUUAAUUUGCAUUUCUCUGCUUACUAAUAAGGUUAAGAUUUUAAAGACUUGUUUAUUGGCCCUUCCUCUUCUGUGAAAUGCCUACUGAAACCCUUUGCUCAAUUUCUUUGGGUUGUCUUUUUAUUAUUAUAGGACUUUGUAAAAAUAUUUUGGAUGUUUAUUCUGUAUCAACUAUAUGUGUUGAAAAUAUCCCAGUUUAUAGCUUGUCUUUGUUUACAAUAGGGAUCUUUUAACAAAUAGAAAUUCUCUGUUUUAAUGUCAGAUUUAUGAAUUUUUUUCUCUAUGGCUUGUACUUUCUUGCAUUUUAAGAAAUCCUUCUCUAUAUCAAAGUCAUAAAUUUAGCUUCAUAUAUUAUCUUCUUAAAGGUUUAUAGUUUUGCCUUUCACAAUUUUUUUUAUAAAAUCUCUUAGAAUUCAUCUCUGUAGUAAGUUAAAGGAGAGAUACAAUUUCUGUGUUAUGUAUGUGUGCAUAUACCAGUUGUCCCAGAAUAUGCAAAGACCAACUUUUUCACUUAUCAGUAGUCAUAAAUUGGAUUAUUAUAUGUGUAUGGGACAUACAACACAUAUGUAUGUGUCACAUAUGUUGGGAAUUCAUUAUUCAAUUAUAUUGGUCAAUUUGUUCCCUGUGCUAUUUCCAUGCUGUAGCAGUUUUAUAAUAAUUUUUGGGAUAUAACACAAAAAUCUAUUUGAGACUUUAUUAAUCCUCUCCAUAAUAUAACUAUUUUUCUAUUUCUUGUAUUGUUUUGGUCUUUAUUAUUUCCUUGCUUUCACUUUCCUUGGAUUUAUUCUGCCAUUGUUUUCUCACAUUUUUAAGCUGGAUGCUAGAUAUUAUCAAUUUUUACACUUCUAAUAUAAACUGGUAAGGUUAUAACUUUUCCUCGAGGUCCAACUUUAGCUGCAUCCUACAGAAUUUUAUAUACAGUCAGUCUCCAACUUACAAUGGUUCUAUGAUUUUUUUAACUUUAUGAUGGUGUAAAAGCCAUAUGGAUUCAGUAGAAACGUAUUUCAAAUAUCCAUACGACAAUACUGUUUUUCACUUUUAGUUCAGUAUUCAAUAAAUUAAGACAUUCAGCACUUAAUUAUAAAAUAGGGUUUGUGUUAGAUGAUUUCAUCUAACUGGUAGGUAAUAUAAGUGUUCUGAUCAUGUUUAAAGUAGGUUAUGCUAAGCUGUCAUGCUUGGUAGGUUAGGUAAAAGCAUUUUUGACUUAAUGAUAUUUUCAACUUGUGAUGGGUUUAUUAGGGCAUAACCCCAUUGAGUCCAGGAGCAUCAGUAUAUUAAGUAGUAAUCUCAUCAUUCAGUUUUAAAUACUUUUAAAUUUCUACUAUGAUUUCUUUUAACCAUAAAUAAUUUAGAAUUAUAUUUCUUAACUAUAUAGGUCUUUCUAAUUUUCCUUUGAUGACAUAUAUCAAACAUAGCUACUUUUGUGGGCAGUGAAAGUACGGUAUAUAAAACUAGUCCUUUGAAAGUUUUCGAGAUUUGCCCGAUAGGCUAAUACGUGUCUAAGUUUUCUAAAUAUUCAGUGUGUCUUUGAUGAGAAUUUGUCUUUUGCAGCUAUUGUGUAUAAUAGUAACUGUUUUAAAAAUACAUAGCCAUUAAAUAAAGUUGUAAUUUUUGUUGAAAUCUAUAAUCUUACUGAUUGUAUCUCUUUUAUCUAUCAUUUACUAAAAGAACUAUGUAUAAUAUCUCGCCAUAUCUGUAAGGUUAUUUUUCCUUGUAGUUUCAUUAAUUUUUGGUUUAUAGUGUGUAUUUUUAGUAACUUAAGCUUGCAAUUUUUAUAUCUUCAUGGAAAAUUGAACAUUUCAUCAUGAUGCAGUUAGUGAUCACUUUAUAAUAAUGCUCUAGUCUGUUUUAUCUGACACUAAUAUCACAACACUAGCUUUCAUUUGAUUAGUAUUUUCCAAAUGUUUUUUCUGUUCUUCAUUUUCAGUCUUUCUAUAUGCUUCCCUUAAUAUACUUCUUGAAAACAGAUUUUAGUUACAUUUUACUUAUUUAUCCAAUCAGAGAUGUACUGGCAUAUUUUUAUUUAUUUAUUUAUUUAUUUAUUUUGAGACAGAGUUUCACUCUUGUUGCCCAGGCUGGAGUGCAAUGGCACAAUCUUGGCUCACCACAACCUCUGCCUCCUGGGUUCAAGCAAUUCUCCUGCCUCAGCCUCCCGAGUAGCUGGGAUUACAGGAGUCCACCAUCACGCCUAGCUAAUUUUUGUAUUUUUAGUAGAGACAGGGUUUCUCCAUGUUGGUCAGGCUGGUCUUGAACUGCUGACCUCAGGUGAUCCGCCCGCCUCAGCCUCCCAAAGUGCUGGGAUUACAGGCAUGAGCCACCGCGCCCGGCCAUUUGUAUUUAUUUCUAUGAUUUUAUUUUGUGAUGUGAUGUAUAUGUAACUUUAAUGUUUCAUUUCUUUCCUUUAUUCUUUCUUCAGUUUGGUUCCCCCUCCCCAACCUUUUCUGCUACUCUUUGGGGUAAUAUGCAUUCUAUUUAUAUUAUUUUAGUACUUUUGCAAAAUAUUUAACAGGACAUACUUAAGUUAUCAAUGUGUGAACAAAACAUUUUUCCUGCCCAGCAAAAUAAUGAUGUUAGAAUACUUUAGCACCAAGCAUUGUUUCUACCAACCUACAUGCUAUCUUUGUGGUAUAAUCUGGUUAUAUAUCUAUAUGUAUGUGUGUGUGUAAGUGUAUAUAUAUAUAUACACACACACACUAAUAUAUAUUUUAAAAAUACCACAGCAAUAGCUUUUAAGUUGGUAGAAGUGAUUAGUGUUGAAGUAUGCCAAUGUCAUUGGCAGGAAAUAAAAAUACUAUUUAGACUUUGAUAACUUAAGUAUAUCCUGCUAAAUUAUAUUGUAAACAUAAGCACCAAAAUAAUGUACACACACAUAUGGAGACAUUAUUAUGUUUUAUGAGCUGAGUGUUUGAUUACACACCAGUUUACUGCUUUCUUUGCUUACCUCUCCUUCUUGCAUCACUUUUCUUCUACCUGAAGUGCAUCUAUCACAGUUUUCUUCAGUGAGGAUCUAUUGUUGAAAACUUCUGUCUUUAUUUGUCUAAAAACUUCUAAUUCUUGAAAGAUAUUUUUGCUGAAUGUAGAAUUAUAAGUUGAUAGUUUUGUAUUUUCACCAUUUUAUGAAAAUUUCCAAACAUGUAGAAAUUAAAAGAAUUGUACAAAAAUACCCAUACAUUCGCUAUCUAAGUACUAUAAUGAAUAUCAUGCUGUAUUUGCUUUACCAAAUAAUUAGCCUUGUAUCCAGCCCUGUAUUCAUCCAUAAGGAUGAAUUGAUCCAUUUUUUGUUGUAUUUCAAAGUUAGUUGUAGACAUCGUAUACUUUACCCCUAAAUACUUUAGCAUGCAUACCACUAACUAAAGUUCAAUAUCUAGUUACAGCUUUUUAGGUAAAAUGUACAUACAGUAAAAUUGUGUAAUCUUAAAUUUACCAUUUGAAGAAUUUUGACAGAUUCAAAUACUUGUGCAAACCAAAAUCCUGUCAAAGUGAAGAAAAAUACCAUCACCCUAGAAAGUUCCUUCAUGCUCCUUCCUAGUCAUUUCCCACUCUAUAUCCAGAAACAACUGCCAUUCUGAUAUUUUCCCAUUGUAGAUUAAUUUUUGUCUCUUCUAGAACUUCGUAUAAUUGGGAUUGAAAUAUGUGUUUUUUGUAUGUAAGGCUUCUUUCACUCAGUAUAAUGUUUUAAAAAUGUAUCCAUGUUGUAUGUGUGGGUGUUUGUGGUAUACUCAAUAGUUCUUAUUGCUGAGUUGUAUUCCACUCUAUGAUUGUAUCACAGUUUAUUCAUAUUCUUGUUGAACUUUUGUGCUAUUUCCAAGUUUUUGGCUAUUAUGAAUAAUAGUGUCAUAAACAUUCUUGGACAUGUCUGUUUAUGAACAUCUGUUUUCAUUUCUCUGGGGUAACACCUAGGAAUGGAAUUGUUCAGACACAGUGUAUAGGUGUAUGUUCAGUUUUAUAAGAAACUGUCAAACCAUACCCAAAGGGAUUGCACCAUUUUACACUCCCAUUAACAAAGUAUGAGAGUUUCAGUCUCCCUACCUCUUUGCCAACAUUUGGUGCUGUCUUUCUGGCUAUAUAUCUCAUUACUGUCCCACAGUAUUUUUAAUUUACAUUUUUCUAAUGACUAAUGAUGUUGAUCACUUUUUAUGUACUUAUUGGCAAAACAUCUUUCUUUGUGAAGUAUCUGGUCAAAAUUUUUGCCCAUCUUUAAUUGGUUUGUUCAUCUUUUUAUUGUUGAGUUAUAGAAGUUCUUUUUUUUUUUGAGACAGACUCUUGCUCUGUCACCCAGGCUGGAGUGCAAUCUCGGCUCACUGCAACCUCUGCCUCCCGGGUUAAAGCAAUUAUCCUGUCUCAGCCUCCUGAGUAGCUGGGACUACAGGCGCAUGCCACUAUGCCCAGCUAAUUUUUGUAUUUUUAGUAGAGACGGGGUUUCACCAUAUUGGUCAGGCUGGUCUCGAACUCCUGACCUUAGGUGAUCCACCCGCCGCAGCCUCCCAAAGUGCUGGGAUUACAGGCGUGAGCCGCCGCGCCUGGCCGAGUUAUAAAUGUUCUUAGUCAUAUUUUUAACAGUGUCUUUUGAUGAGUAAGAAAAACAUUUUUGAUAACAUUUGUCAAUUCUUUUUCUUUUGCAGUUUUGCUUUCUGUGACUUAACAAAUUGUCUACUGCCAGGUUGGAAAUAUGUUUACAUAUUUAUUCUUUCUAGAAGCCUUAGAGUUGUAGCUUUUUAUAUUAGUUCUAGGAUUUAUGUUAAUUUUUGUUCAUGGUGGCAGGUAGGGGUUGAAGUUCAUUUAUUUCUUUUUCUGUAUGGAUAUCAAGUUGUUCUAGUGCCAUUUAUUGAAAAUGCAAAUGGUAUUUUCAACAGUGGAGGUCUUUGGCACCUUUAUUGAAAAUUAAGUGACCACUGUACGAGUAUUUUCUUGUAUCAAAUUACCACAAAUUUAGUGACUUAAAACAACACAAAUUUAUUAGCUUUUAGUUCUGUAGGUCAAGAAGUUCAGACCUCACUGAACUAAAUUUAAAGUGGCAGCAAUGCUGCAUUAUUUUCUAGAGGCUCUAGGGAGAAUCUGCUUCCUACUCAUUUAGGUUAAUAGGCAGAAUUCAGUUUCUUGCAUCUGUAAGUCCAAUGUCUCCAUUUGCUUGCUGGCUGUAAGCCAAGGGCCAUUCCCAGCUUCAAGAGGCUGCCACAUUCCUUGGCUCACGGCCCCCUUCCUCCAUCUCAAAAGCCAGCAAUAGAGGGUCAAGUCCUUCAAACAUUGCAUCUCUCUGAUCCAGCUGGGAAAGUGUUGGGAAAAAGCUGAGGGUUAGGAGAAGCUGAGGCAGGGCUUGCAUGUCUGACAUAAUGUAAAAGAGUCUUGGAACAUGUCCGGGGUCCAGGGUCUAAAACCCCUUGUGGCCUUUGGAACACCAAGCUCUAUGCUAAAGGGUGGAAGCCUACCAUCAUGCACCAUAAUCUAAGCCCAGGGCAUAAAAUCCCUUGUGGCUUGGAUAGAAUCCAGGGCUCAUGGCUCUGGAAUGUAUCUAGACUUGCUGGCUCCUUGCUCCUUGCUCUCCCAGGAUUGAUUGUAUCUUGAGUUAAAAGAAUCUGCUCUCCAUUAUCUCAAGUAGAGCAAAUGCUAAACCAUCACAGCUGUAAAUCAUGUACUUAAUGCAAUGUGCCCUUUUGACCUCCACAUUCUCACCACCUGUUUCUUUGUUGGAUUACCAAUAAAUAGCAUGGGCUCCCAGAGCUCGGGCCUUCGCAGCCUCUACGAUUGUGAUGGCCCCCUGGGUCCGGUCCCACUUUUCUCUCUCAAACUGUCUUUUUCUCAAUCCUUUGACUCCGCCGGACUUUGUCACCCCCACGACCUGGUGUUGGGUCUGAUCACCCCAACAGGAAAGAUUCUUCAUUUUCCCUUCUCUUCCUAAUACUGUAAUCCUAAAUCCAUUAGGGGCUGAGCAAGCUAGGCAUACAUGCCGGUGCAGUUACUUAGGCCUAAAGCACUGCACUGUAGCUUGAGCACAAUGAGGAGGUAUCUAUCCAGGGAGAGUAUGGCGGCAGUAAUGGGAUAGUGGCUUCUUCUAGGGGGGACUGAUCAAAUAUGUUUCAUAUACAUAAAUACACACAUAAAAUAUAUAUUUUACUACUAUUAUUAUUUCCUCUGAUAAAAAUCUGCGUUCUUUGAAGAAAUGAUUGAUUCCAGUGUUGGGCACAGCAAAUACAAGAUGAGCCUGGAACAUCUUUUAUAUGUGUAAGUAAGGGGCGCUCAAAGAAUGAUAGGAACCUGUUAAAGGCCGCAAAACCCACACAGGAGGGGCUCCCACUUGCCAAAUCUGGAGCAAACUGGUCAUUAAAAUAAGUAAUAAUAGAUUACAAACCUCUGAAUGAAAUAGGAAAUCACAAGUCUAUACUGACAUAAAUUAAUAAAUUGAAAGUUUGAUGAAGAAUGGUGUGUUUACAUAGUCUCAGAGUACCUCCCCAUAAAAUCUUUACUAAUUACAAAGGAAAAAAAGAGUAAUUUUACAGUAGAGAAGCCUGGCUGGUAUAUCUUAGUGAUUAAGAUGUAAUGCUCUUUCAUCAAGGAGUAUUACCAGUAAUAGGAUAGAAUGUCAUCAUGUGCCCCUGAUAGGAGCAUGCAUCACUUUUGUGGCAUUCUUUCUACAACUCGGAACCUUAUCAUGAGGAAACAUCAGAGAAAACCAAAUUGGAAGGAAAUUCUUCAGACUGGCUUAUAAUAAUAAAAAGUGUCAAGGUUAUAAAAGGGCAAGACUGAGAAACUGUAUCAGACUAAAGGAGAUUAAAGAGACAUGACAUCUAAAGGCAAUGCAUGAUUCUAAAUUUGUUCCUUUCAUGCUAUCCAGUUAAUGGCACAAUUGGCAACACUUGAAUCUGAUAUCGAUGGUCAUAACAAAUAAAUGUUAAUUUCUUUAUUUUGGUAAUUGGAUUGUGGUUAUGUAGGUAGGGGCAUGUCCUUUUUGUAGGAAAUAUGCAGCAUUUUGAGGGAUGUUGUGGGAUCUUUAAGGAAUUAGAGCGACUGAUGGGGUUCAGGAGGAUAUGAUAUUUAUUAAUUAUUUAACUGCACAGUCGGAUUAACAUCUAAAGGACUGAGCCCUGAACAAAGAGUUAAAUUACCUUUUAGGCAUUUCGUCGGGUGGGGGUAGGCGGGGGAGGGGGGAGAUCUAUGCAGGGGGAAGCAUACUACAGAAGCGAGAAACAAAGGCACUUAUGCAAGUGAGACAUGCAUUACAUCAUUUCUUACUUUUCAAGGAAAAACAUGUUUUGCGACUUGAGUUUAUCUGUCUAGUGACCUUGCAGCUGCACAGCUAGGGAAACCGGGUCUUCACAAUGCCUGGGAAAGGGAGAGAUAAAGCUCACUAGCCACAGAAAAACAGGCAGUUAAUUUUUUAAAGGACUCCAGCUCUUUCUGUUUCUCAGGGGGAAUUGGGUUUUCUCACAUACAAUUGAGUUUUUGCUUACACACUCUUUAAUUUCUUUUAAUUCCUGUUUCAGGGGUGAUGUAGCAUUAGGUCAACAAUUUACUUUCAAAUGGUUCAGUAACAAGAAAGUUCCUGGUGCUAUACUUGCAACUUUCUGUAAGUUUGUGAUUGGAUGGAUGGAUGGAUGGAUAGAUCGAAGAGUGAAGUAUGCAGCUAGCUUAAAAAUAUCUUCUGAAUUAUACUUUUAAUUUAGAAAUAAUGUUUAAAAAUCCAUAUUGAAGCUCCAUAGGAUUUCGUCAGUCAUGCUUGUACAUAUUGGUGCCUGCAAACAGUGUAGUUAUUCUUGGCUUUUUGAUAGACUUUAAGAUUAUUUCCCCACAAAGUUCCUCCAGAUGAUCUUAACUAACUGGAGAUUCCUAGUCUGCCUUUCCUAGAGCUGCUAAGCAAGUGGGGUUUUUGAUGGCUUAUUUUUUCACCCAUCCCCUACCUUGGCCAUCUCAGGAUUCUGCUGUCUCCCAGGAAGAAGAAAUGAUGAAGUCCUACGUGAGUUUUAAAUGAUGUAUUUAUUUUAUUAUCUUAUUCUAUAAGGCAGGAAAAGUAGAUAACAAUAAUCUCAACAAAAGAUGGAAAACCCUAAGUGGAUCAAAAUUAGGAAAACAUAAGUGAUUAAGGAGAAACUUUCAAUUAGAAAUAUACAGAAAUAAGUUCAUUAAGAAUUAAGCUUCAAAUUUGAAUCUGGCCUUCAUAGGAAAAACAAAUUAGGACAUAAAACUAAAAUUAACAAAAUUCAUUAUAUAGUUUGCACUGUCUUUCAUAAAAAAGCCUAUUAAUUUCUCAGAGGAAAAUAAAAGAUUUUCAUGGACACGAAGUAAAAUACUUUGGCAAAGUUUUAAACUUGUGGUCCACAGCCCUCUCCAUAUCUUCUUUACUCUGGUCUCAAAAAAUGAGAUGUUCCUCCUCUUAAAUAUAAUGUCUUUUCUGUUUUUCAUCCCAUCUUUCCUAUGACUUCUAGAACCCUUCCCCACUAGUUAAUACUUACACUUAAAUAUAUUACACAGUUCUUUCUUUACUGCCUCAUUCCUUUACUUACAUGAUUCUCCACAUCUGAGGAGAAAACAAACACACAACUAUUCUGUCCAUGUGUCCAGUUAGUUACUUCUAACAGUGUAGAGGUUAAAAGCAAAUAUUUUAGAGGUUAUAAGAUGUAGAUUUCAAUUCUCAUUCCACUACUUUCUGUGUGACAUGCGCAAAUUAUAGUUACUGAAAUUGUCAGUUCCUCAGUUUUAUGACCUAAAAGUGAGGCUAAACACAUAGAUGAAAGUUUUUUGAGAAUUAAAGAGUUGUUAAGUUGCUCAGAGCAAUGAUUGUCACCAUUAAACGUUGAAUUAACGUUUGCCUCAUUUCUUCCUCAGAAACUCAUGACCCAAGUCUUGGUGAUUUCCGUCUCAUCUUACGUGUAUUGUUUCUGUAAGAAAGUCCUCAAAAUAUGGGAUAUGUGGAUGCCUCAAUUUCUUAUUUCUAUCCCAAAUUAAGAUAUUUUCCCUUAUUUUUACAUUCCUUUGAAAAUUAAGUUUUUUUAAUUGGUUUUAUGAGAGGCAAAGUUAAAAUCUGCUCAUCAUGGCUCUUUUAUAAAAAGACAUCUUAAAUAUUUUCCUUGGCUUCAUCAUAUUGUUUUCUCAUGAUGCUAAUUAUAAUUAUCACUUAAAAACAAUUUUCCACUUAUGAAUUCUUUUCUUUGCUUGUUUCUUAACUGGUACUUGUCCCCAAAACCUGCUUGAUAUCCUGUUCCGCAUAGCAUCAGUGAAUUAUCACACCACACUGCAAUGGCUAUAAUGGUUUCAGUCAUCAUUGUACACUGAUAAAUAUCAAAUUACUCAUUUGCAAUACAAUCCCUACUUGAGCUCCUGAAGAGCAUAUAUAACAGUCUGAUGGAUAUCUUUACCCAGUUACUCUAUAGAAGACAUGAAUUUUACAUGUCCAAAAUUUUAUUCUUCUCUUACUUUUACCACCUUCUGGUAAAAGUGCAGGACACGUGCAAACAGGGAAAGGGGCAAAUCCAAAGUAGAGCCAGUGUGACCACACGUGGCACUGGUGUAUUCAAGAGCAGAUGCUGUGAAUGUGUGUCACAGAGGGCAUACGGGGCGAUGGCGAAACAAACAAUGGUGUCCAGGCAUGUUCCGGAGGAAGGGGGGCACAGGUGACCUUUCCAUCGAUGCCAACGAAAAUCAUAGAACACCUGGGAACCAGGAGGGGGCCUGUGCGUGAGUCCAAGCCACAAUUUGAAAUGCCUGCUGGAGGAGCAAAGAGGUUCCUGCAAAGUUCACCCCACCCUCAACCCUCCACCGCCCAGGUAGCCCUGACGCAACCUCCCCUGCACCCAGCCCCAGCCCAGUCCCGUUGGUUCCCUGACAUUCAUUACAGCCAAAAGAUUCAGGGAGGCAGUCCACCCCGGAGCGGAGGAGAGGAUGUCCCUCAAGAAUGAGACAGGAAGUGCAGAGAAAAUGCGACAGCGCCUGUCCUAGAAGACAAGGCCAGUCACGGUCGCCUACCGCUCAUUCUAGGCAAUCCCCCCCACACAUGAGGUGAAACGUGGAGACCAAGGUAGCUUCCCUGUCUGAGACACGUAUGGGAGCCAAGAGCUCCAGGAUCAUCAAACCUACCCAAUCAAGCAGAAACAGGUUUGGAGAGAGAAACAAUCAGAACAUGGAUCUCCAUGAAGUUUCUCCCUGAUGGACUGGGAAGUGAUCUUUGUUGAAGACAUUCAGCCAGACCAAGAAGCAUCUAGGCCCCUCAGAAACAGAAGAGACAGAGCAAGAGGGAGGCCAGAGCAGAGGCCAGAGCCCAGGCAGGAUACAGCACAGUGCCACCGCCACGGGCUGAGGGGAGGAGUGCCAAACGGGUGACUUGUCCAAAGAGGCCAGCAUUCCAGUGACAGGGAUCCUUGCCGUGUCCCCAUCCCAGCUUCUUCUUUAAGAUUGUAUCGUGGUGUGGCUUCGUUUCUCAGAGAAGAGACGCGAGGAGAUACAACCAUCUCCUUUGAGGUCGGUCUACUUCCCUCCUUUAGGACAAUGAGCUCCUGGGAGGCUUUUGUCCUUACCUGGAGUGUGGUCAUCUUGAUUCUAGAGAAUAGACCACUCAGGAUGGGGAUGAGACUUCAGUUGCUCUGGGACCGACGCAUCUCCUGAGGUGGUGGAGGCCUUCAAAAACCCGAAGUGCAACCGCCGCGAAAACGAGACAACCAGCCACGUGACCCAGGCAGACGCAGAAAAAGGCUCGCCAACGACAGGCGGACAUACAAGAAAUCCCUUUUUGGCGCAGGGGGCAUAUACGUCCCAACACACACACGCUCAUGGGCACACACACAUACAGACAGAGGGAGAGAGAGAAACAGGAAGUGAGAGACAGAGAAAAGAGAAUGGGACACAGACAGACACACAUACACAUACGCACACACACACAGAGAUAGAGUGAGAGAGAGAGAGAGAGAAAGAGACAGAGACAGAGCAGUGGCAUAGAAACAGAAAUGCCAGGCAACCCCUGAGGCUGCGGGGUUCUGCUCUCCGCAAGAACGACCCUCAGGUGAGAGGGCGGCCCACGAGCACACAGGCAGACCUGUCCUCGAGAUCACGGCGGGCACGACUUUUGCGGAGACUCACCCUAACACGUCCGGGCAGGCCUGAGCCUGGGAUGCCGCGCCGCUUCCCCCAGACUCCGCCUGUGGUUUCGUCAUCCUCGACAGCUCUGUGCGACUCGUGGCAUCCGGAGACGUUCCUGUCGACCCCGUGGAGAGGUCAGGCCGGAGCCUCGGAGCCCCGACAGCCAAGCACUGCCACGGAGGGCUCCUGCUUUGCCAAGCCUCAGGGACUGGUUUCUAAGACAACGGUGAGAAUCCGCUCGCGCCUCGCGCAUGCGCAUUGGCGGGGUUGACUCGCGCUCCGCUCCUAGAAGUCAGGCUGCGGCCCCUUGAAACAAUGGCGGCGGCGCGGCUGCGCUAAGGCAGGGAAGCUCCUGCUGCAGCCGCGGCGGCGGCUGGAUCCGGGGUCCAGUAGAGGGCGGCGUGGGAGAGGGGGCCGCGGGCGUCCCAGGGCCAAACCCCCAGGAGUCCUGUCUUCAGGGCCUCCUUGAGUCGACUUCCACCGGUGGAGGGGGAGCUUCAGGGCGCCUGCUGGGCUCUCAGGACUCCUCUUCAGAUCCGAUUUUGGAUCCCACUGGGUGAGCAGGGAUGGGCUCAGGCGGGAGGCAUGUGGUGAGGCAGGCAGGGCCUCGCUGCAGCACAGGAUGAUCUCUUGGGCCUCAAGGCGUGGUAUCAGCUGAAAAUUCGCUGACCCACGAGCCCUCUGCCUCCCUUCUCCCUUGGAGGAGCUGUGGGCUGCCCCGAUUCGCAAAGCCGUGGGGCUGCUGCAAGCCAACACCACUUUCCAGGAGACGUGGAAACAGGGAUAGGGCGAGUCCGAGGUAGAGCCAAUGAGACCACACGUGGCACUGGCUUCCCUAAGAGCAGAUUGGGUGAGUGUGCAUUACCGAGGCCAUAUGGGGUGAUUGCGAGACGAACAAUGGUGUCUGGGCAUGUGCCCGGUGGAUGCGGGGGGACACAGAUGACCUCCCAGUCAACGCCAAGGAAAAGCAUAGCGCCUCUGAGAACCAGGAAUGGGCCCGUGCCUGAAUCCAAGCCAGAUUUUGGGAUGCCUGCUCUAGGAGCGGAGAGGUUUCUGCAUAGUUCACCCCACCCUCACCCCUCCACAGCCUAGGUAGCCCUGAGGCAACCUCCCCUGCACCCAGCCCCAGCCCUUGCCCUUUGGAUCCCUGACAUUUGUGAGAGCUGAAAGAUUCAGUUCUGGGAGGCAGUCCAUCCAGAAGCAGAGGGGAGGAUGUCUCUCAAUAAUAAGACAGGAAGUGCAGAGGAAAUGCCGCACGGCCUUUCCUAGACGCCAAGGCCAGCCAUGAUCGCCUACCGCUCAUUCUAGGCAAUCCACCCAGCCAUGAGGUGAAACUUGGAGACCAAGGGAGCUUCCCUGUCUGAAACAGGUAUGGAAGCCCAGAGUUCCAGGAUAGUCAAACCGGCCGAAUCAACCAGAAACAGGUUUGGAGAGAGAAACAAUUAUGACACGGAUCUCCACGAAUUUUCUCCCUGAUGGACUGGGAAGUGUUCUUUGUUGAAGACAUUGAGCCAGACCAAGAAGCAUCUAGGCCCCUCAGAAACAGGAGAGACAGAGCAAGAGGGAGGACAGAGCAGAGGCCAGAUCCCAGGCAAGACACAGCACAGUGUCACCGACAGGGUUAAGGGAAGGAGUGUCAAAUGGGUGACUUGUCCAGAGAGGCCAGCAUUCCAGUGACAGCAGGUAUUGUUGUCAUCUCCGGUUCCUGGCUUCCUCUUUAAGACUGUAUCGUGGUGUGGCUUCAUUUCUCAGAGAAAAGCCGCGAGGAGAUACAACCAUCUCCUUUGACAUCGGUCUGCUCCCCUCCUGCAGGAGAAUGAGCUCCUAUGAGGCUUUGGUCCUUGGCUGAAGUGUGGUCAUCUUGAUUCUAGAAAAGCCGCUCAGGAUGGGGAUGAGAUUCCAGUUGCUCCGGGACCGACGCAUCUCCUCAUGUGGUCGAGGCCUUCACAAUCCCAAAGUGGAACCACCACGAAAACGAUUGACAACCGGCCACAUGACCCAGGCAGAGACCAAAAAAAAGGCUCACCAAAAACAGGUUGACAUGCAAGAAAUCGCUUUUUGGCGCACAGGGCACAUUGAUCCCAACACACACACCCACACUGGCACACACACACACAGAGAAAGAGAGAGAGAGAAACAGACAGAGAGUGAGAGACAGAGAGAUAAGAGAGAAUGGGAGACACACACACAGACAUACAGCAGUGGCACAGAAACACACAGCCCCAGGCAACCCCUGAGGCUUUGGGGUUCUGCUCUCCACGAGAUCGACACUGGGAUGAGACAGGAGCCUAUGGACACACAGGCAGACCUGUCCUCAAGAUCAUGGCCUGCACAAGUUUUGGGGAGGCUCACCCGAUCCCCGUCCGGGCAGGCCUGAGGCUUGGAUGCCGCACUGCUUCCCCUGGACUCUGCCUGUGGUUUUGUCACCCUGGUCAGUCCUUGGAGACUCCUGGCAUCCGGAGACCUUCCUGUCGCCCCCGUGGAGAGGUCAGGCCAGAGCCUCAAAGCCCCGACACCCAAGCACUGCCAUGGAGGGCUCCUGCUUUGCCAAGCCUCAGGGAGUGGUUACUCAGGCAACCGUGGGACUCACUGUGAUGGGAGAAUUGGCUGGCGCUUCGCGCAUGCGCAUUGGCUAGGCCGACUCGCGCUCCGCUGCUGGAAGUCAGGCUGAAGCCCCUUUAAGCAAUGGCGGCAGCGCAGAGGCAGGGGCCUUUGGCUGCAACCCUGGCGGUGGCUGGAUCCCCGGUCCGGUAGGCGGCGACGUGGGAGAGAGGGCUGUAGGCACCCCAGGGCCGCACUCCCGGAGUCCUGUCCUCAGGACCUCCUUGAGCCAACUCCUACCGGUGGAGGAGGAGCUUCAGGGCGCCUGCUCGGGUCUUUGGAUUCCUCCUCAGAUCUGAUUUUGAAUCCCACCAGGUGAGCAGGGAUGGGUUCACCUUAUCUGUUGAGGUGGGAAGGGCCUCACUGGGGCACAGAAAGAUCCCAUGGGCCUCAAGGCGUGGUGUCAGCUGAAAAUUCACUGACCCAUGAGCCCUCUGCCUCCCUCCUCCCUUGGAGGACCAGUGGCCUGUCCUGCUUCCCAAAGCCCUGGGGCUCCUGCGAGAAGACACCGCUUUCCAGGACAAGUGCAAACAGGGACAGGGGCGAGUCCAAGGUGGAGCCAAUGCAACCACACGUGUCACUGGCGUCCCCAAGAGAAGAUGGGGUGAGUGUGUGUCACCGAGCCCAUAUGGGGCUAUGCCAAGAUGAAGAAAGGUGUCCAGGCAUGUGCCUGGUGGAAGGGGGGCACAGGUGACCUCCCUGUCAACGCCACAUAAAAGCAUAGCCCACCUGGGAACCAGGAGAGAACCUGUGUGUGAGUCCAAGCCACAUUUUGGGAUGCCUGUCAGAGGAGCGAAGAGGUUUCUGCAAAGUUCACCCCAUCCCCACCCCUCCAACGCCUAGGUAGCCCUGACACAGCCUCCCCUGUACCCAGCCCCAGUCCCGUCCCUUCGGCUCCCUGCCACACAGAAAGAGAAAGAGAGAGAGAGAGAGAGACAGAGAGUGAGAGACAGAGAGAGAAGAGAGAAUGGGAGACACACUCACAGAUACACAGCAGUGGAACGGAAACACACCACCCCAGGCAACCCCUGAGGCUGCGGGGUUCUGCUUUUCAAAAGAACAACCAUCGGUUUAGAGAGUAGUCCACGGGCACACAGGCAGACGCUUCCUCGAGAUGAUGUGGGGCACGACUUUUGGGGAGACUCACCCAAACACCAUCCGGGCAGGCCUCGGGCUGGAAUUCCGCGCUGCUUUUCCCAGACUCCGCCUGCUGUUUCUUCAUCCUGUUUGCCCCUCCGUGUCUCCUGGAAUCCUGAAACAGUUUUGUUGACCUUCUGGAGAUGUCAGCCUGGCGCCUCAACACUGACGCACUGCCACGGACGGCUCCUGCUUUGUCAAGGUUGAUGGAGUCGUCCUCAGGCAACCAUUGGGGUCACUGUGACAGGAGUAGCGGUGUCGCCUCAUGCAUCCGCAUUGCCUAAGCCGACUCGUGCUUUGCCCUUGGAAGUCAGGCUGUAGCCCCUUUAAACGGUUUCGGCUCUGCGUGGACGGGGGCUCCUGUGGCAGUCGCUGUGGUGGCUGGAGUGUUGAUGGAGUAGCGGGCGUUGUUGGAGAGGGGACUUCGGGGCCGGACCCCCAGGACCCCUGUCCUCAGGGCCUUUUUGAGCCGACUUUUACCGGUGGAGGAGGAGCUUCAGGUCGCCGGCUGGGGUUUCAGGACUCUCAGGCUGCAGUGCAUUGGUGUGAUCAUAACUCACUGCAGCCUCAAUCUCCCAGGAUUAAGCGAUUUUUUUGCCUCAGCCUCCCACAUAGCUGGGACUACAGGCAUGUGCCACCUCACUGAACUACUUUUCUUCAGAAACAUUUUUGUAUGAAUGGGGACUUACUAUGUUGCCUCGCUCAUCUCCAACUCCUGGACUCAAGCCAUCCUCCUGCCUUGGCCUCCCCAAGUGCUAAGAUUACAGAUGUAAGCUUCCACAUGCAGCUGAAUUCUUGUAUCUUAAAUCCCUACCUCCCAAAAUAAGCAGAUAUUAGUCCCACUUAUUUUAUAACUUUUUGCUCUUUAUGUCUCUUUUUGUUCCUGGACACAGGGAGUAGCAACCCACUCUCCACUAAAUUUCAAAUCAUUAGGGGCAUUAUGCUAUGUCCCAGGAGUGGCUGAGGCUUCAAGGACCUGCUGCUCUAACUUAGGCUUGCUGAGGAGUACAAUUCAUCUUGUGUUUCUGUGUUGUAUAACAAUCUUCCUGAGCUCCUCUAAGUCAGUCCAUCCUGCUACAACUGAGAAGAAUCAAGAAACUCUCCAAGAAAAUGUUUAUCAACCUGCCUGUUGUCAAGGACAAGACAGGUCUGUUGACCAUGGCAGGCAUGGCAGCGCAUGACAGUGAGCACCCUCCACCGUGUUUGCUAUUCACUGCAUGUUCCACCUGAAAUUUCCCAUCUGCUCAGUGAGUCUUAACAGUGUGGUAAAAAGGACUCACUCUCAAAGACCAAGGCUGACGCUCUCUGAAUACAAUGCCUUGACCUAGUUACUGUCACUGUGGUUUUGUCUUCAUAGACUAAAAGAUACAAUAAAAAUUUGUUCGGUGGAGCCAAGAUGGCUGAAUAGGAACAGCUCCAGUCUAGAGCUCCCAGCAUGAGUGAUGCAGAAGACGGGUGAUUUCUGCAUUUCCAACUGAGAUACCAGGCUCAUCUCACUGGGGAAUGUCAGAAAGUGGGUGCAGGACAGUAGGUGCAGCACACCCAGCAUGAGCUGAAGCAGGGCAAGGCAUCACCUCACCCAGGAAGCGCAAGGGGUCAGGGAAUUCCCUUUCCUAGUCAAAGAAAAGGGUGACAGACGGCACCUGGAAAAUCAGAUCACUCCACCCUAAUACUGAGCUUUUCCAACGGCCUUAGCAAAUGGCACACCAGGAGAUUAUAUCCCAUGCCUGGCUCAGAGGGUCCUAUGCCCAUGGAGCCUUGCUCAUUGCUAGCACGGCAGUCUGAGAUCAAACUGCAAGGGGGCGGCGAGGCUGGGGGAGGGGCGCCAGCCAUUGC
RNAcentral lists this long non-coding RNA (20482 nucleotides) under Homo sapiens (human). RNAcentral's name for it is "HSALNT0397790". The record is from RNAcentral. Lineage: Eukaryota; Metazoa; Chordata; Mammalia; Primates; Hominidae.